Molecule: ribosomal RNA, 253 nt
Filed under: uncultured bacterium
Lineage: Bacteria
Description: partial 16S ribosomal RNA
Rfam family: Bacterial small subunit ribosomal RNA
Source: RNAcentral
UACGGAGGGGGCUAGCGUUGUUCGGAAUUACUGGGCGUAAAGCGCGCGUAGGCGGACCUGCAAGUCGGGGGUGAAAGCCCGAGGCUCAACCUCGGAACUGCCUUCGAUACUGCGGGUCUCGAGUCCGAGAGAGGUGAGUGGAAUUCCUAGUGUAGAGGUGAAAUUCGUAGAUAUUAGGAAGAACACCAGUGGCGAAGGCGGCUCACUGGCUCGGUACUGACGAUGAGGCGCGAAAGCGUGGGGAGCAAACAGG